GGUAGUAAAAGUCGUAACAAGGUUUCCGUAGGUGAACCUGCGGAAGGAUCAUUCAUAAUAAGUGUUUUAUGGCACUUUUUUAAAUCCAUAUCCACCUUGUGUGCAAUGUCAGGGUUGAUUUUUCUCUCGAGAGGAUCAACCCCAAACAUCAACUAUAUCUCAACUCUUUGUCUGAAAAAUAUUAUGAAUAAAACAAUUCAAAAUACAACUUUCAACAACGGAUCUCUUGGCUCUC
RNAcentral lists this unclassified non-coding RNA (235 nucleotides) under plant metagenome. Its description in RNAcentral is "partial contains small subunit ribosomal RNA, internal transcribed spacer 1, and 5.8S ribosomal RNA". The stretch from base 1 to 54 matches the Rfam family "Eukaryotic small subunit ribosomal RNA", at positions 1778 to 1831 of the family's 1831-position model. The record is from RNAcentral.